This 445-nucleotide ribosomal RNA is filed under the name uncultured bacterium. RNAcentral describes it as "partial 16S ribosomal RNA". It matches the Rfam family "Bacterial small subunit ribosomal RNA", at positions 354 to 796 of the family's 1533-position model. The record is from RNAcentral.
GUGAGGAAUAUUGCGCAAUGGAGGCAACUCUGACGCAGCCAUGCCGCGUGCAGGAAGAAGGCGCUACGCGUUGUAAACUGCUUUUAACCGGGAAGAAACCCCAGGACGUGUCCUGGGUUGACGGUACCGGAGGAAUAAGCACCGGCUAACUUCGUGCCAGCAGCCGCGGUAAUACGAAGGGUGCAAGCGUUAUCCGGAUUCAUUGGGUUUAAAGCGUGCGUAGGCGGAGCGUUAAGUCAGUGGUGAAAUCCUGCAGCUUAACUGUAGACUUGCCAUUGAUACUGGCGCUCUUGAGUGCGCUUGAAGUGGGCGGAAUGUGCCGUGUAGCAGUGAAAUGCUUAGAUAUGGCACAGAACACCAAUUGCGAAGGCAGCUCACUAAGGCGAUACUGACGCUGAGGCACGAAAGCGUGGGGAUCGAACAGGAUUAGAUACCCGAGUAGUCC